CACCCUCCCGGGCUUCCUUGCUACGCUCCUGCUUCCAUUCGCCAAGUUUCCUUUCAUAGCCUCCAAACGAAGGCGAGGGUGAGGGGAGGCAAAUGCGACUGGGUGGGGGCAGCAGCAGCAGCCGCGAAGUUUGCAAGGAGCCCCGAGUCUCCUUGGGCGAGAGAGAAGAGAGGAGCCCCGCCGCGCCAGCCUCAGCCCCCUCCGAGGCCGACUGUUUGGGAAGGGGCCGCUGCUCUCUCCAGCAGGGGCGAGGAGGAGCCGGGGAAGGGAGGCCGGGAGAGGGGCGAGCCAGGGCGGGCUGCUGCCUAUGAGGGAGUCCUUGCCAGGCGCCUCGGCGUGAGCAGGCAAGGAGGAGGAGGCGGCAAGCCGAGGAUCGAUGGGGAGGGGACUAGGAUUGAAACGGCGGAGGGCGGCGGCGAAGCUGCACAUGUGACAGCAAGAAGCGGGCUGUAAGAUGGUGGAGAGACGUGACGACCGGAGAAGACUCCAAGGAGCUGCCUGUGACCCUGCCCGAGACCUCGACGAAGAUGUCAAACAGACAGACGGAGAAGACGCCGAGGAACUUCCAGCAGCCCCAGUAGGGAACGUGACUUGAAUGCCGGAUGGACAGGCUCCUGACAGUAUGUAGUCCAGAAACUACAAUUGGUACAGAAUGCAGCAGCCAGAUUGGUAUCUGGGACAACUUGAAGGGACCACAUAACACCAGUUUUGAGGGAACUGCACUGGCUGCUGAUAUGUUUUCAGGUGAAAUACAAAGUGCUGGUUAUUACCUAUAAAGCCUUUAAUGGCCUGGGUCCGGGCUAUUUAAGAGAACACCUCCUUUAUCAUAAUCCCUGCUGCCUGUUACCAUCUUCUGGAGAGGUCUGGUUACAGUUGCCACCGGCACAUUUGGUGGUGACCCAGGACUGGGCUUUCUCUGUGGCUGCCCUGGGCUUUGGAAUGUGCUUCCUGUUGAAAUAAGAUAAUCUCUCUCUGUUUGUUUUCAGGAAGACCUUGAAGACUCUGUUCUCACAGGCUUAUAAUUAGAAUUAAUUUUAAUAAUUUGUUUUAAUAAUUGUUUUAUGCUACUGUUUUGAUUUCUGUUUUAUGCUACUGUUUCAAUUGUUUUGCAUAUUUUAAUCUGUGCUAAUUUUUAAAUAUUGUUUAAAAUUUUGUAUACCGCCUAGAGAUGUAUAUAUGAGGUGGCAUAAAAAUAUGAUAGCUAGAUAGAUAAAUAAAUUAGUCUGGAUGUCA
This is a long non-coding RNA of Hemicordylus capensis (graceful crag lizard), 1233 nucleotides long. RefSeq lists it as uncharacterized. NCBI's taxonomy places the organism in Eukaryota, Metazoa, Chordata, Lepidosauria, Squamata, Cordylidae. The record is from RefSeq and is a predicted model, not a curated record. The transcript has 2 exons.